GUGCUCCCCUAGGCGGCACAUACACUAAAAUUGGAAGGAUACACAGAAGAUUAGCGUGGCCCCUGCACAAGGAUGACAUGCAAAUUUGUGAAGUGUCCAUAUUAAAA
Manis javanica (Malayan pangolin) is the source of this 107-nucleotide small nuclear RNA. Lineage: Eukaryota; Metazoa; Chordata; Mammalia; Pholidota; Manidae. The record is from RefSeq and is a predicted model, not a curated record.